UCAAGAGGGAGCUGGAUGGGAUUCAGGUGGAAUUGCAAGCGACUGACCCUACUGAGAUGGACCUCGAUGUGAUUCGAGGCCGUGCCAAUUAGGUAUUGCCUUUGUUUCUUACAAAGGAGAAUUUCUCCAUGCAUUCUGUGGUUGCUUUUGCGAGAUGUUUAUAGUCUCAUGGGACCGUUAAUUUGCUAGAUAUCAUGUGUGUUUGUUGUUGGUACAGUUAUGAUCUUUGAUUUCGGGAUAUCGUUU
Molecule: unclassified non-coding RNA, 246 nt
Filed under: Hevea brasiliensis (rubber tree)
Lineage: Eukaryota; Viridiplantae; Streptophyta; Magnoliopsida; Malpighiales; Euphorbiaceae
Source: RNAcentral